UGGGUCUCCUUCCUGCUGAGAGCUGGAUGCUUAUCAGGACAAUCUGCCUGUGGAAAGGAGCUACCCAC
This 68-nucleotide microRNA precursor is filed under the name Chlorocebus sabaeus (green monkey). RNAcentral describes it as "miRNA (ENSCSAG00000027691.1)". The record is from RNAcentral. Lineage: Eukaryota; Metazoa; Chordata; Mammalia; Primates; Cercopithecidae.